UAACCUGCCUCAUACACAUGGAUAACAUACCAAAGGUAAUGCUAAUACAAGAUGACAUAAGAGAUUCGCAUGGAUUUCUUAUCAAAGCUCCGGCGGUAUGAGAUGGACCCGCGUCUGAUUAGCUAGUUGGUAAGGUAAUGGCUUACCAAGGCUUCGAUCAGUAGCCGACCUGAGAGGGUGAUCGGCCACAUUGGAACUGAGACACGGUCCAA
Molecule: ribosomal RNA, 212 nt
Filed under: uncultured bacterium
Lineage: Bacteria
Description: partial 16S ribosomal RNA
Rfam family: Bacterial small subunit ribosomal RNA
Source: RNAcentral